Molecule: long non-coding RNA, 2598 nt
Organism: Gallus gallus (chicken)
Lineage: Eukaryota; Metazoa; Chordata; Aves; Galliformes; Phasianidae
Exons: 3
Source: RefSeq, a predicted model, not a curated record
GGUGCCCCUAGGCGGAAAAGUGGAGCUCCUGGAAGGACGCUGGCCUCUCUUGCUGGCUCUCCUUUGGUCCACAGCGGAGAAGCACAUGGCCCCUGUUUGCUUUUGCCUGCAGUCUACAGAGCAAACUCUGAUAGUGACCAGGUUGUUCUUGCAGAGUUCUCUACUUCAUCCCAUCUGUGAAGAGUGAAUGAGUGGCUGUGUUGUACUGAGCUGCCUGCUGGGAUUAAACCACAACAUAGUGAUACUUCACCUAAAUUAGCCAAGAAUACCAUUAGCCAUCUUAGCAGCAAGGGCACACUGCUAACUCAUGUUCAACUUGGUAUCUCCUAGGACUUCCAAGUCUUUUUACUGGACAGCUGCUUUCCAGCCUGGCAGUCACCAGAGUGCAUUGGUGCCUAGAGCUGUUACUCCUGAGGUUCAGGACUUUGCAUUCUCCUUAUUUAACUUAAUGAGAUUCCCUCCACUGGGGGCUGGAGAUUAGUGAUCCUUGAGAUCCCUUCCAACAUGGGCCAUUCUGUGAUUCUGUGUGUAAGAUCAAUUAUGUUUACCAUUUUACAAACAUCUAGUUUACCUGUCAGUCCACUUCUUCAAUCUGUCAAGAUCACUCUGGAUGUCAGCAUGGGUCUUUAGUGAAUCAGGUGCUCCACCCAGUUUUGUUUAUCUACCAUAGGAAGCCUGCUUUACCAGGGGGACUGAGCUAAAUGAUCUCCAGAGGUCCCUUCUAGUUCCUGUGAUUCUGUGAUUCUUUCUUUCAGUUUACUGAGAUGACAUUCUACCCACUGUCCAGAUCAUUAAUUAAGAUUUUAAACAGGAAUGGAUUCAGUACUGAUCUCUGAGGUACUCCACUCAUCACUGAUCUACAACUGGACUUUGCAUCACUAACUACUACCUUCUGGGCCUGUCCAGUUCAGCCAGUAAGCUUUGGGAAUCUCAAGGGCAGUGGUCUGCAGAUUCACAGUUUUUAGUCCAAGUCUUCAUAGUUGCUCAGUUAAAAUACUGGGUGAUUUAAAACAGCGUGCUUGGAAAAUCAUGCAUUAUAAUGCGUAUAUCUCAGUAGCCAAAAGUAGAAUGUGAAUAAAUAUAAAACUAAAAAAUUUCCUUUAAGAAGUUCAUUUAAAUAUUUCUACCUAAUUUGUGUUACAUUAACAACUAUGGUUUGGAAAAGAAAAGAAAACAACAACAACAACAAACAAACAAAAAACGUGAGGAUUUAAAAAAAACAUAUUUAUCGUGAUUAAAAAUGAAAGGAAACCUUGGCUGACUUUGCUUUCAGCAUAUCUUUCUGAUAGAAACACUGUUAAUAAAGCCACAGGCAGUAAAGGGAUCUUGAUUUAAACUGGCAUUAAUUUAUUAACGAACCAGGAUUUCAGGACAUUAGCUAUCUCAGUAGUCUUUACCACGUUUAGUGCAUGACAUGCAAGAAAUUUCUCCUGACAGAAAGCAAAUGUUAACAUAUUUUCUGCAGCAGUCACCACAUCAGAUUGAUUUGGAUAACUAUAAUGCUGUCAGGAUGUUGUUCAUUAUUUGUGCAUUCUGUGAAUUAUAGAAAGAAAAGUGGUUCUGUGAAUUGUUGAACUCAUACUCAUAGGCCUUAACCUUACUUCCUAUAGCUUUGGUCAAAGCCAUUUUAUGUUUAAAUCUCUGUAUCUGCACCACUCUUACACAAAGAUAUUCUGACAAUUAAUUUAACUGAUGUUCACUAGAUAUAUAAUGGGAGUCUGGUCACCAAAGCAGAAAGUUGACUGUAGAAUUCUUUUUUUUUUUUUUUUUUUUUUUUUCCUUUCAAAUCUUUUACAUUUGGUUUUAUAAUUUUCUUUGAACUCAUUGGCAGGUAAUUGCAACAUUUGAUAAACUAGCUAAAUAAAUUUACUAGUAUAAUAUUAUUACUUGAAAACCUACCUAACACCUUCAGAAUGCAUAUGAAUAGAAUGCAAAAUUUGCUUCAGAAUUCAUGUUUAAAUGACUUUGUACAUCUUUUGCUGAUUUUUCAUUUUAAUGUUAAAAAUGUCCUUGAAAAAAAUUCAAUAAUAACUCUGAAGUUCAGGAAGUCUGUAUUAUCACGCAAGCUGUUAUUCACAAAUCAUAAGAGAUUCAGACUUGAUAUAUCUCUGAUUUAAUAAAGCAAUACUGUUUUGAUUUUACUGGCGAAAAUGACAACAACAAAACAAGCAGAAAAACCCACAACAACCAGCAACAACUGCACAAAAGAUUGAGUGUCUACCCUGUGCUAAUUUUUCUAAUGACUCCUUUGGUAGUGUUUUCUAAAAGUACAACUUGCCAACAACAUGGAAUCUAAGUCAGAGUGGAAAUUAUUACUAUACUACAAAGAUGACAGUGAAACUGUUCAGCUCCAACUGGAAGUUGUAGAGCACAGGACAUGGAGUACUAAAUCAUUUAGCAACAGUGAGAAAUUCAGGCUCUUGACUGAUGCCAGGUUUUUGUUCGGGGAUCAAAUCCAACAACUGAAGUAAUUAUUGCCAUUAAUCAAGUCCCUGAAAUGUUUGGUGUUUCUGUGACUUACCAACAUGUAACCUGUCUGGUGGCAGAAGUGGAAAAGGAACAAGAGGUUACUGUAUCCCUAAAUGAUGACGCUUCAAU